RNAcentral lists this ribosomal RNA (374 nucleotides) under uncultured bacterium. RNAcentral's name for it is "bacterial SSU rRNA". It matches the Rfam family "Bacterial small subunit ribosomal RNA", at positions 527 to 896 of the family's 1533-position model. The record is from RNAcentral.
GGGGGGAGCAAGCGUUGUUCGGAUUUACUGGGCGUAAAGGGCGCGUAGGCGGCCACCGCAAGUCGACUGUGAAAUCUCCGGGCUUAACUCGGAAAGGUCAGCCGAUACUGCGGGGCUAGAGUGCAGAAGGGGCAACUGGAAUUCUCGGUGUAGCGGUGAAAUGCGUAGAUAUCGAGAGGAACACCUGCGGCGAAGGCGGGUUGCUGGGCUGACACUGACGCUGAUUGUGCGAAAGCUAGGGGAGCGAACGGGAUUAGAUACCCCGGUAGUCCUAGCCUUACACGAUGAAUGCUUGGUGUCUGGGGUUUUAUAGUCCCCGGGUGCCGUUGCUAACGCUUUAAGCAUUCCGCCUGGGGAGUACGGUCGCAAGACUG